This 29-nucleotide non-coding RNA is filed under the name Homo sapiens (human). The record is from RNAcentral. Lineage: Eukaryota; Metazoa; Chordata; Mammalia; Primates; Hominidae.
UNUGAGACAAUGUAGCAGAAUACCAGGCA